CUGGGAGUAGGAAAGCUUGGUAAUCCGUCUGGUUUGGAACCAGAAGAACGUCGGUUCAAAUCCGACCUUCCAGACCA
Molecule: transfer RNA, 77 nt
Filed under: Candidatus Thorarchaeota archaeon
Lineage: Archaea; Promethearchaeati; Candidatus Thorarchaeota
Description: tRNA-Pro
Rfam family: tRNA
About the family: Transfer RNA (tRNA) molecules are approximately 80 nucleotides in length. Their secondary structure includes four short double-helical elements and three loops (D, anti-codon, and T loops). Further hydrogen bonds mediate the characteristic L-shaped molecular structure. tRNAs have two regions of fundamental functional importance: the anti-codon, which is responsible for specific mRNA codon recognition, and the 3' end, to which the tRNAs corresponding amino acid is attached (by aminoacyl-tRNA synthetases). tRNAs cope with the degeneracy of the genetic code in two manners: having more than one tRNA (with a specific anti-codon) for a particular amino acid; and 'wobble' base-pairing, i.e. permitting non-standard base-pairing at the 3rd anti-codon position.
Source: RNAcentral